Molecule: ribosomal RNA, 396 nt
Filed under: uncultured bacterium
Lineage: Bacteria
Description: bacterial SSU rRNA
Rfam family: Bacterial small subunit ribosomal RNA
Source: RNAcentral
AUUAAACGCUGGCGGCAUGCCUUACACAUGCAAGUCGAACGGCAGCACGGGGGCAACCCUGGUGGCGAGUGGCGAACGGGUGAGUAAAGCAUCGGAACGUGCCCUGGAGUGGGGGGAUAACGUAGCGAAAGUUACGCUAAUACCGCAUAUUCUGUGAGCAGGAAAGCAGGGGAUCGCAAGACCUUGCGCUCUGGGAGCGGCCGAUGUCGGAUUAGCUAGUUGGUGGGGUAAAGGCCUACCAAGGCGACGAUCCGUAGCGGGUCUGAGAGGAUGAUCCGCCACACUGGGACUGAGACACGGCCCAGACUCCUACGGGAGGCAGCAGUGGGGAAUUUUGGACAAUGGGCGAAAGCCUGAUCCAGCCAUGCCGCGUGAGUGAAGAAGGCCUGGUGUAAG